Molecule: transfer RNA, 71 nt
Filed under: Lachnospiraceae bacterium
Lineage: Bacteria; Bacillati; Bacillota; Clostridia; Lachnospirales; Lachnospiraceae
Description: tRNA-Trp
Rfam family: tRNA
About the family: Transfer RNA (tRNA) molecules are approximately 80 nucleotides in length. Their secondary structure includes four short double-helical elements and three loops (D, anti-codon, and T loops).
Source: RNAcentral
AGGGGAAUCCUCUAAUGGUAGGAGAGCGGUCUCCAAAACCGUCAAUGGGGGUUCGACUCCCUCUUCCCCUG